This 223-nucleotide long non-coding RNA is filed under the name Elaeis guineensis (African oil palm). RNAcentral's name for it is "long non-coding RNA (EGUI_LNC048637)". Lineage: Eukaryota; Viridiplantae; Streptophyta; Magnoliopsida; Arecales; Arecaceae. The record is from RNAcentral.
CCGACUAUGGCCGGCCAACCCAUGUGCAUUUAUGGAUAGAUUCUUAACUAAUUAUUUCUCUAAACAACAUCUAGUAAUUAAUUUUACCUCAGGUUUUAUUUCAAUAGGCUAGAGCCUCCAUUGAAAGUCCUGGUUAGGUUCAACCAUUAACAUGACUAUUCUCAGCCCAUCUAACCAACAAAUGAUCAGACCCGACUAUGGUCGGUUAACUUGACCACCCAUC